GACGAACGCUGGCGGCGUGCUUAACACAUGCAAGUCGAACGGGAGUAUUGAAGAAGCUUGCUUUAGAGAUACUUUAGUGGCGGACGGGUGAGUAACGCGUGAGGAGCUGUCCUAUGCAGGGGGACAACAGUUGGAAACGACUGCUAAUACCCCAUAAGCCGAGAGGUAAAGGGAUUUAUCCGGCAGAGGAGGUACUCGCGUCCUAUCAGCUAGUAGGUGAGGUAACGGCUCACCUAGGCGAAGACGGGUAGCCGGCCUGAGAGGGCGAACGGCCACACUGGAACUGAGAUACGGUCCAGACUCCUACGGGAGGCAGCAGUGGGGAAUAUCGGGCAAUGGGGGGAACCCUGACCCAGCGACGCCGCGUGGGUGAAGAAAUCCUUCGGGAUGUAAAGCCCUGUUGUAUGGGAAGAGCGGAAGACGGUACCAUACGAGGAAGCCCCGGCAAACUACGUGCCAGCCGCCGCAGUAA
Molecule: ribosomal RNA, 472 nt
Filed under: uncultured bacterium
Lineage: Bacteria
Description: partial 16S ribosomal RNA
Rfam family: Bacterial small subunit ribosomal RNA
Source: RNAcentral